AGAACGAACGCUGGCGGCAUGCCUAAUACAUGCAAGUCGAACGAACUCUUCGGAGUUAGUGGCGCACGGGUGCGUAACGCGUGGGAAUCUGCCCUUGGGUUCGGAAUAACAGUUGGAAACGACUGCUAAUACCGGAUGAUGACGAAAGUCCAAAGAUUUAUCGCCCAGGGAUGAGCCCGCGUAGGAUUAGCUAGUUGGUGAGGUAAAGGCUCACCAAGGCGACGAUCCUUAGCUGGUCUGAGAGGAUGAUCAGCCACACUGGGACUGAGACACGGCCCAGACUCCUACGGGAGGCAGCAGUAGGGAAUAUUGGACAAUGGGCGAAAGCCUGAUCCAGCAAUGCCGCGUGAGUGAUGAAGGCCUUAGGGUUGUAAAGCUCUUUUACCCGAGAUGAUAAUGACAGUAUCGGAGAAUAAGCCCCGGACUAACUCCGCGCUAGCAGCCGC
This 446-nucleotide ribosomal RNA is filed under the name uncultured soil bacterium. RNAcentral describes it as "bacterial SSU rRNA". It matches the Rfam family "Bacterial small subunit ribosomal RNA", at positions 26 to 518 of the family's 1533-position model. The record is from RNAcentral.